RNA transcript from Zingiber officinale, 3861 nucleotides. RefSeq lists it as uncharacterized. The transcript is spliced from 19 exons. Lineage: Eukaryota; Viridiplantae; Streptophyta; Magnoliopsida; Zingiberales; Zingiberaceae. The record is from RefSeq and is a predicted model, not a curated record.
CCCUAAGCAUUAUUUCCACCCGAUUCCCUUAUUCUUCUCACGAUUCUUCUCAACCUCCUGUGCCCUGCAUCUUGCCACCGCUCCCUCAACCUCCCUCUUGCGUAUCUGCUCGGCACCACUGGUCGACGCUACGCCACCCACCGACUAAGCACCAAGUCGCUCAGAUAGUGAGACGCUGACGCCUUGCGCGACCUGCAGACGCUCUACGCGGACUGCCACCGUCGUUUGACACCAUUGCGGCCCCUUCUCAGCGUGACGCCGGUACGGCGACACCACAGGCCACUGUCGUCGUGGGAGUAGACGUCUCCCCUUCUCUGUGUGAGGCAGCUCGUCAUCGUUACAGGCCACAGUUGACGCGAGAGCUAAUGCCGCUGCUCUCUCUCAUUGCCUGCUUCGAUCUGUAAGCAUAGGGCCAUUGCCGCCAGUCCAUCUCCGACCAAAAGAAGACUACCGACGAACUACCUUGAGCUGGCAUCUUUCAGAGCCGCUUCUUUAUUUACUACCAUGCAGCGAGGGAGACAGGCACAACUCCAUGCACACCUGAACUGCUAGCCGGAGAUCUAUCCUCUCUUCAGUUUAGGGAGGAGGAAAAAUCCACUGGGAUACCAUCUUCUCAUCAGAUCUGAGGUGGAGAGUUCUUUCUUCAUGGUAGCAUUCAAUUUCUUCAUUGAACAGACUGCUGAUUGGAAAUAAGAUUGGUUCUCUAGUCCAGCUGGAUGUAUUGUCAGUGAUAGUUUCAUGUCUACGGUUCCAUGCUUGUUCAAUUUGUGUGUGGGGAAGAUUACAACUGCUAUAAUACAUGGACAUGAAUUAACAGAGGACAUAAUUGAACUUCCGCCAGACUUGUUUGAUAAUUUAGUGAGGAACCUUUCUCCUUUGGCACUGCAAAAUAUACAUGAAUUUCGAGAAAGAUCAGCUGACCAUUCUUGUGAGUUUGGAUGCAAAAAUGCUAGCUUUGAGUGCAGACAAAAUUGUGGAAGGUGUGAAGAUUUCAAUACACUAUGGAUGAUGUUAUUCAUGACUCGCUGGUCCAAUAUCAAGAGGAUUCAUCCUUCUGGAAUAGAUGGUAAUGAUAAAUCAAAAUUGAACCAAAGUCUUGACUGGCAACAACUAUACUGGGAAAAGCACCUACAAGAUGUUUUAGAUGAAGCUGCAGAGAAAGCCUUGCUUCCUUCGUUUGAUGCUAAUAUUGGUGAUCUUACAAUUUCGGACAGCAUCAUGGAUGCAAUUGGUCACAGAGAUACAUGUUGCUGUAUGAAACUAUCCUUCCAUUGUAACAGAUUUGGGAAAUAUAUGAGAUAUUUGAGACUUCAAAAUGUGCUUUGUGUUGCUGAAACAUGUGAGCUACUCCGAGGUUGCAAGUUGCAAAGUUUGGUGUUUAGAAGAGUAAUAUCCAAAACUCAGGUCGAUGGACUUCUCAUGCUUCUCAAACAGCACAGACAUACACUGCGAUCUCUUGAAUUUAUUUUUUGCCGCAUUCCUUCUGCCAUAUUUGAACAAUUUUUUGGGUGUAUGCACAUAGAUGGUUCUGAAACCCAUGGGAUCCAUGAUCUUUAUAUCAAAUCAUCUCGUGUAUUUGACAACAAAUCAUCUUUGGUUCCUUCUGGCCUUUUGUCUUUUCUAGUAUCUGGGAGGGACUUGCACUCACUGUGUAUCUGUGACAGUAAGUUACAGGCAAUGCAUGCAAAAUUGAUCUUUGAUGUUCUCGUGGAGUCAUCUUCUCCUUUAGUCACGCUUGAAAUAUCAGAAAAUAAUCUUGCUGGUUGGCUAUCUAGGGUUGUGAGGGAACCUUUGGAUUCUUCAUCAUUUAUUGAACCAAAAAUGCCACUGCAGUCACUCAGGGAACUGACUUUAAGGGGCAAUAAUUUGAAGAAGGAAGAUGCGGAAGAUCUCUGUUAUAUCUUGGUUCAUAUGCCUGUAUUGCAAUGUUUAGAUAUCAGUGACAAUGCCAUAAUGGAUGGAGGAAUCAGGAGUCUGAUUCCUUAUUUUAUUUGGGCUCUUUUGAAAGAUUACCCUCUUACUGAUAUUAAGUUAAAUAAUUGCAAUCUAUCUUGCUCUGGAGUUGCUAAUCUUUUAAGAAGCCUCCCGCCUAUAAAAACACCACUAAAUACGUUUUCUGUGGCAGAAAAUGAACUUGGCAGUUUUAUCGCAGCACCACUGGCAAAGUUCCUGGCUUCCCCUGGUGUUAGAAAACUCAACAUCGAAGAUAUAGGACUAGGAAUAUUAGGUUUUCAGCAACUUGAAGAUCAAAUACCCAGGGAGACGGCUCUUCAAUACAUCAACAUAAGCAAGAAUCGUGGUGGGAACAAAGCUGCAUAUUUCAUCUCUAAAGCCCUCUUGUAUGCACCAAAUAUUACUUGUAUCAAAGCUGGAGGUAAUAUCAUGCCUCCUGAAUCUGUGGAAGUCAUUUACAGGGCUCUGAAAGAAUCAAGAGAUGCUAACUAGGCAGAUUCAAGGGGAGGAGGAAGCUGAAGCUCCUGAUGAAACUGAUGAAACUACAGCUCAAAAUAUUGUUGCCGCUGGCACCACCGAUGAACCCGAGUGGUUAAUGGAAUACCCGCAACUAAAACAAAUAUCGGAGCACAUUUAUUCUCAAGAAGCAGUUUCCAGUAUAGGCCUCCUGCAGAUGCUACCAUGAAUCCGGUUGGUUAUCCUCCAACGGAAAGGCGACCCAAACCUGAACCUAUAAGCAUAGCAGCUGAGCCUGACAUUAAUAUCAGAAGAAAUGGGAACUUCAAGAAAGAUAAUAAAUCUGAAUGGUGGAAUUUUCCAUCUGCCCAACAGCAUACUGGAGCAAUCCUCACUUUACCAACCCAGCUUGGAAAGAUUGAGGAUGUUUUCCUCCGAUGGGAAGCAAUCACCAAGAACGUAGUUGCCCUGCAAAAUUUUGCAAACACUCAAGAUAAAGCAGAUUUCAUCGAAAAUCUACUGGGAGAAGCUGAAAGAUUGACCUGGAUCCAAUGGCGAAUGACAUUCCCAAAUGAAUACCAAGAUCUAGUAAAAUCAGCAGAAGGCCACAACGGUACGCAAAACAUAAUCUUUCAAAUUAGAAGGGUAUUUAUUCUUGAAGACCCCUUUCAAGGGCCCACUGACAUGCAGGAUAGGGCAUACAGAGAUUUAGAAAGGUUAACAUGCCCCCAAAUAAAGGAUAUUAUACCCUUUAUAAAUGAAUAUAUGAAUCUUGCAGCCAAGACAGGACAAUUAUUUACAAGCGAGAAUUAUCCGAAAAAUUUUGGCUAAAACUUCCUGGAGAUCUUGGUAGAAGAAUAAAAGUAGCCUUUGAGGAAAUGUAUCCAGGAAAUACAAUGGAAGUACACCCUCAGGUAGUAUUUACUUACAAAUACCUUGAAGAAGAAUGCAAGAAGGCAGCUUAGUAGAUCCCUCAAAGACUUGUCAUUCUGCAGCCAGAUACCAAUCCCAGGCUACUAUCAGGAUACAAGAAGAAAGUAUGGAGUAAGAAGAUCUACAACCUACAAAGGAAAGCCGCAUCAGUCACACGCAAGAAUAGAGAGGAAAAAGCAUCUUAUCAGAAAUAAAAAAUGCAAGUGCAUUCUUUGCCGAGAAGAAGGGCAUUUGCCCAAGAUUGCCCCCGGGAAUAUAAGAAUGUAAAAAGAGUUGCAAUAUUUGAAGGACUGGAGCUCCCGAAAGAAUAUGAAAUAAUGUCUGUUCAAGAAGGAGAUGACCAGUCUGAUGCGAUCUAUAGCAUCUCAGAAGGGGAGGACCAGCAGGUACACUUGAGAUAUUGGACUUGACUGGAAAUAGUCAAUUAUGCCAGUCCAACUACACCAAACUACUCGAGUUUGAACUUGGUGGGAGAUCGAUUGUGACCAUGCCAACACCAUCGACCUCAAACACACCAUA